UCCCAAGACUGUGGGAUCAUGACCUGAGAGGAAAUCAAGAAUUGGAGGCUCAACCUACUGAGCCACCUGGGUGCCCUAUGUGAUUGUUACAUUUAAAUGAUGUCUAGGUUUUCCAUACAGAAAAAAGAGGAGCUGGGAGUGGGGAGAGCAACUGGAAAAUUACAGACACCAAAUAUCAUUAAUUACAUGGUCUGAUUUCUGCCCGCUUCUCCAUGCUUCAUCUCCUCUCACAUAGGACUGACUUCAUGGGCCAUGAUACAUGUGUUUGGUGUAAUGUUCUUUUGUUGCCAUUCUUUAGUUCCUGAUUUUACCUUUGAGUUUGUUUUUUGUAAGUAGAGUCCAAUGGAACAACAGAGCAUGCCGUCAGCGAGGAAAUGUGUGCAACUCUGUGGACUCAUCGUUCCAUGAUGCCCAGCGUGCUGUGCUCUAGAAACGCUAAAUUCCGUUGAACUCAAGACUGCGUGGGAGUUAGAUACAAGGUCAUUAAAGUCCUUGACAAGAGCAGCUGGGUGCAGUGGGGGACAAAAACUUCAAUGAAGUGGUUUAAGCAACAAUGGAGAAGCAGCGCAAGGGAAAGCCAGCAAGCAGUGGAACUGGUCAGUGCGUCCGCCACCCCCAGGUGCUGUCCUGGUGAGAUCUGUCAGUCCUCUCCGCCUUGUGCACUGAUGCUGAAGACUCCCCCCUGACCAGAGCCUAGUCAUUUGCCAGGCUCUCCCCAUCACGGGGAGUUACACGGCAACUGAUCCUCAUGUUCACCCUGCUGUCAAAGCAUUCCAAUUUUUAAUCGCUACAUGACUUGUCAGAUUCAAUAUGAACCACAUGGUUACAAUUAAAACCUCUCUAAUAAGGAGAAUGCCAAAAAAAAAAAAAAAGAGGGGUGGUGGUUUAGGCAUGUUUCCCGUCACUGUUCACAUUCUGAAACUAAGUUUAAGAAAGUUCCUCAACUAAAAUUUAUGUUUGCGUGUUGAGAAACUAAACUCUUAUGCCCUUAAUUCUUACGAUAAACCACAGAGUCGUUGAAAGUAUGUGCCUGCACUUACUGAGUAUUUCUAAGGUUCUGGCUGACUCUCAUCGAGUACAUUUCCACUAUGGAAAAGAAUCCGUCUCCCAUGAUGAGGGAAGAAGGCAGCCAAACUCCGGUUCCAGAUCUGUCCACCACACCUGUCACUUCCGCACCUACUGGGAGACAUUUUCUUCUUGGCUACGUUUGAGCUGGAAAUGCUGAAGCAUAUUUUAAGAACUCUUCUUUAACUCAAGAGAGGGAACUUUAUUUUCCUGAGAUUGGUACCUGAGUCACAGUCCCAGUUAUUUCUCUCCUAGAGUUUGCAAUUUUGAAUUUCCGCAAGACCGAGAAUUAAAAUGAAAAUGGAAGACAUAUUUUAUUCAUUACACUUUGAAAUUAAUUUACUUGCAGCUGUAUAUAAAUACUGAUCCUAUGUUAAAAGAAAUUUUUUUUAACGUUUAGUUAUUUUUGAGAGAGAGAGAGAGACAGAGAGAUAGCAGGGGAAGGGUCGAGAGAGGGAGACACAGAAUCCAAAACAGGCUCCAGGCUCUGAGCGGUCAGCACAGAGCCUUACACGGGGUUCAAACUCACAGACCCCGAGAUCAUGGUCUGAGCUGAAGUCGAAGACUUAAUCAACCGAGCCACCCAGGUGCCCCACUGAUCCUAUGUUUUAGAACAUGUGUAAAAGAGAUGUGCCAAGUACUGGUAUUUACUGGAUUCUGACAAGGUUUUUCCGUGCAGAUGAAAGUUGUAUCAGUCAACAGACGCAUCAGGCUCUUUGUGGAAAAGAUACAAUAGUAUGUAUGAUAGCUGCAGACAGCCCAUUCCAAUUCUACAGCAUUCUCCAGCGUUCACUGAGGUUAGAUAAGGGAAAAAAUAGUCUUAGGGCCCCAUAUGGACUAAAUAUCUUGGAAGUUAGACAUUUCUAUAUUUGACUUAGUUCACUAAAAAAAUUAACUUCUAUCCUGAUAUCUCAGGAUUUUUUUCCAAAACAUUUAUCUGAGUGCCUUUUAGGUAUUUAUUUUCUGAAUGCCAUCAAACAGCAAAAAAACUGUAAUGUUAAUCUAUAGUUCUGUUUUCUUCUUUUUUAAAAAUUUUAUCUCACUGUGGUAAGAACACAACAUGAGAUCGACCGUUGUAACAAUUUUUUUAAGUUUUUAUUUAAAUUCCAGGAUAGUUAACAUACAGUGUAAUAUUAGAUUCAGGUGUAAUAUUAGAAUCACAUUAUAGUGAUUCACCACUUCCAUACAUCACCCAGUGCUCAUCAAAACAAGUGCACUCUUUAAUCCCCAUCACUUAGUUAAUCCACCCUCGCCACCCCCCUUCUGGUAACCGUUAGUUUGUUCUCUAUAGUUAGGAGUCUAUUUCUCGGUUUGCCUCUCUCUGUCUUUUUUGUUUCUUUGUUCAUUUGUUUUAUUUCUUAAAUUAUGCAUGCGAGUGAAAUUAUAUGGUAUUUGUUUUUCUCUGACUGACUUAUUUCACUCAGCAUGAUAGUCUCUAACUCCAUCCAUGUCA
Long non-coding RNA from Neofelis nebulosa (Clouded leopard), 2518 nucleotides. RefSeq lists it as uncharacterized. NCBI's taxonomy places the organism in Eukaryota, Metazoa, Chordata, Mammalia, Carnivora, Felidae. The transcript has 3 exons. The record is from RefSeq and is a predicted model, not a curated record.